AUGUUUCCCUUGCUCAAAAAGGCACUAAGUCAUCUCCAAGUUUGAAGCACCCAGCGAACAACAGCAAGGCAGAGCCACCAGAAGCAUACACCUGAUUUUCAUGACAAACACGGUAACGCUGUAUGAGCUAGUGAAACCACUUUCUGUAUUGCUGUACGGAUAUGUAUAGCAACACAAACUGGAAUAGAAUGGAACAUGUCCCCUGUUGGCAGAGUCACCCCAAAGGAAUGGAGAGAUAAGUAG
RNAcentral lists this long non-coding RNA (243 nucleotides) under Homo sapiens (human). Its description in RNAcentral is "non-protein coding lnc-SP3-2:2". The record is from RNAcentral. Lineage: Eukaryota; Metazoa; Chordata; Mammalia; Primates; Hominidae.